This 405-nucleotide ribosomal RNA is filed under the name uncultured bacterium. Its description in RNAcentral is "bacterial SSU rRNA". It matches the Rfam family "Bacterial small subunit ribosomal RNA", at positions 354 to 776 of the family's 1533-position model. The record is from RNAcentral.
GUGGGGAAUAUUGGACAAUGGGGGAAACCCUGAUCCAGCAAUGCCGCGUGGGUGACGAAGGCCUUAGGGUUGUAAAGCCCUUUCGGCGGGGAAGAUGAUGACGGUACCCGCAGAAGAAGCCCCGGCUAACUCCGUGCCAGCAGCCGCGGUAAUACGGAGGGGGCUAGCGUUGUUCGGAAUUACUGGGCGUAAAGGGCGUGUAGGCGGCCCGUCAAGUCAGGCGUGAAAGCCCUGGGCUUAACCUAGGAGGUGCGCUUGAAACUGAUGGGCUUGAGGCCGGGAGAGGAGAGUGGAAUUCCCAGUGUAGAGGUGAAAUUCGUAGAUAUUGGGAAGAACACCAGUGGCGAAGGCGGCUCUCUGGUCCGGUUCUGACGCUAAUGCGCGAAAGCGUGGGGAGCAAACAGG